ACGUAGGGUGCGAGCGUUGUCCGGAAUUACUGGGCGUAAAGAGCUCAUAGGUGGUUUGUCGCGUUGUUCGUGAAAUCUCACGGCUUAACUGUGAGCGUGCGGGCGAUACGGGCAGACUAGAGUACUGCAGGGGAGACUGGAAUUCCUGGUGUAGCGGUGGAAUGCGCAGAUAUCAGGAGGAACACCGGUGGCGAAGGCGGGUCUCUGGGCAGUAACUGACGCUGAGGAGUGAAAGCGUGGGGAGCGAACAGGAUUAGAUACCCUGGUAGUCCACGCCGUAAACGGUGGGUACUAGGUGUGGGUUUCCUUCCUUGGGAUCCGUGCCGUAGCUAACGCAUUAAGUACCCCGCCUGGGGAGUACGGCCGCAAGGCUAAAACUCAAAGGAAUUGACGGGGGCCCGCACAAGCGGCGGAGCAUGUGGAUUAAUUCGAUGCAACGCGAAGAACCUUACCCGGGUUUGACAUGCACAGGACGCGUCUAGAGAUAGGCGUUCCCUUGUGGCCUGUGUGCAGGUGGUGCAUGGCUGUCGUCAGCUCG
Molecule: ribosomal RNA, 538 nt
Filed under: uncultured Mycobacterium sp.
Lineage: Bacteria; Bacillati; Actinomycetota; Actinomycetes; Mycobacteriales; Mycobacteriaceae
Description: bacterial SSU rRNA
Rfam family: Bacterial small subunit ribosomal RNA
Source: RNAcentral